Molecule: long non-coding RNA, 1126 nt
Filed under: Zonotrichia albicollis (white-throated sparrow)
Lineage: Eukaryota; Metazoa; Chordata; Aves; Passeriformes; Passerellidae
Description: lncRNA (ENSZALG00000001525.1)
Source: RNAcentral
GAAUCUCUUUUCCCUGAGAAUCUCUUUUCCUGGGAAUUUCUUUUCCUGGGAAUCUCUUUUCCUGGGAAUUUCUUUUCCUGGGACUCUCUUUUCCCUGGGAAUCUCUUUUCCUGGGAAUCUCUUUUCCCUGAGAAUCUCUUUUCCCUGGGAAUCCCUUUUCCUGGGAAUCUCUUUUCCCUGGGAAUCCCUUUUCCUUGGAAUCUCUCUUCUUGGGACUCUCUUUUCCUGGGAAUUUCUUUUCCUGGGAAUCUCUUUUCCCUGAGAAUCUCUUUUCCUGGGAAUCUCUUUUCCUGGCAAUCUCUUUUCCCUGAGAAUCUCUUUUCCCUGGUAAUCUCUUUUCCUUGGGAAUCUCUUUUCCUGGGACUCUCUUUUCCUGGGAAUUUCUUUUCCCUGAGAAUCUCUUUUCUUGAGAAUCUCUUUCCCUGGAAAUCUCUUUUCACUGGGAAUCCCUUUUCCUGGGAAGCUCUUUUCCCUGAGAAUCUCUUUUCCCUGGGAAUCCCUUUUCCUGGGAAUCUCCCUUCUUGGGACUCUCUUUUCCCUGGGAAUCUCUUUUCCUGGGAAUCUCUCUUCUUGGGACUCUCUUUUCCUGGGAAUUUCUUUUCCUGGCAAUCUCUUUUCCUGGGAAUCUCUUUUCCCUGGGAAUCCCGUUUCCUGGGAAUCUCCCUUCUUGGGACUCUCUUUUCCUGGGACUCUCUUUUCCUGGGAAUUUCUUUUCCCUGACAAUCUCUUUUCUUGGGAAUCUCUUUUCUUGAGAAUCUCUUUUCCUGGGAAUCUCUUUUCCCAGGGAAUCUCUUUUCCUUUCAGUUUCAAACUGGAUUUAAGGCACCGGAAUUGUGGCAUGGAAGGAGCGGCAGCAAUGGUUGGGAAUGACCCACAGGUGCCUGAGACAUCUCCCCCAGGGUGACAUCUCCCCUCUAAAGGGAGGAAAAUGAUGAAUGUGGAAGUCAGAGCCAGGCCAGAGACUGGGAUGCGGGAAAACCUCCCCAAAGUGCAUUUGUGCAGCAGGAAGGGAGCGGGGUGGGCACUCACAGGGCAAUGAGUGAGCACACACAUGACCAGGUAUUCAUUGACCAGGGGUGACAGGAGGGCAGCGGCCACAGAGCCAGUCUGGGUGUCACACACAGCC